Molecule: ribosomal RNA, 481 nt
Filed under: uncultured bacterium
Lineage: Bacteria
Description: partial 16S ribosomal RNA
Rfam family: Bacterial small subunit ribosomal RNA
Source: RNAcentral
AUUGAGCGCUGGCGGCAUGCCUUACACAUGCAAGUCGAACGGUAACGGGCCUUCGGGUGCCGACGAGUGGCGCACGGGUGAGUAAUACAUCGGAACGUGCCCGAUCGUGGGGGAUAACGAGGCGAAAGCUUUGCUAAUACCGCAUACGAUCUACGGAUGAAAGCAGGGGACCGCAAGGCCUUGCGCGGACGGAGCGGCCGAUGGCAGAUUAGGUAGUUGGUGGGAUAAAAGCUUACCAAGCCGACGAUCUGUAGCUGGUCUGAGAGGAUGAUCAGCCACACUGGGACUGAGACACGGCCCAGCCUCCUACGGGAGGCAGCAGUGGGGAAUUUUGGACAAUGGGCGCAAGCCUGAUCCAGCCAUGCCGCGUGCAGGAUGAAGGCCUUCGGGUUGUAAACUGCUUUUGUACGGAACGAAAAGCCUUCUUUUAAUACAGGAGGGUCAUGACGGUACCGUAAGAAUAAGCACCGGCUAACUACGU